UACAGAGGGGGCAAGCGUUGUUCGGAAUUACUGGGCGUAAAGGGCGCGUAGGCGGCCUGUUAAGUCGAACGUGAAAUCCCCGGGCUCAACCCGGGAACUGCGUCCGAUACUGGCAGGCUUGAAUUCGGGAGAGGGAUGCGGAAUUCCAGGUGUAGCGGUGAAAUGCGUAGAUAUCGAGAGGAACACCUGCGGCGAAGGCGGGUUGCUGGGCUGACACUGACGCUGAGGCGCGAAAGCCAGGGGAGCGAACGGG
Molecule: ribosomal RNA, 253 nt
Filed under: uncultured bacterium
Lineage: Bacteria
Description: partial 16S ribosomal RNA
Rfam family: Bacterial small subunit ribosomal RNA
Source: RNAcentral